Long non-coding RNA from Daphnia carinata, 821 nucleotides. RefSeq lists it as uncharacterized. The transcript is spliced from 4 exons. Lineage: Eukaryota; Metazoa; Arthropoda; Branchiopoda; Diplostraca; Daphniidae. The record is from RefSeq and is a predicted model, not a curated record.
CAAUAGGCGGCUCAUACGAUACGGCGGUUGCAAGUUUAAUACAUUCUAAUUCCUUUGCCAACGGGAAUCAAGAUAAACACUGGUGGAUAGUGAGCUGUUCGCUAAUAAACUAAAUGGAGGAAGAAACUAUUGCUCCAGAACUAUUGGAUAAUACCAGCAGAAACAGUCAUGCCAAGAAUUUGAUAGAUCAUAUUCUGGAUGACAGUGACAAUUGAAAGGAAAGAAAGCAGUACAAAUCUUCACUGGACAGUUUACUCAAUGUUCAUGGAUAUCAGGUUGUUGACCAUGGAAUGCUGACCGGUUAUCUGUGGAUGGAAACCUACCUGACCAUGGUUAUAUUUGACAAAUAUCCUGAGACAAAACCCAAGUGAAGAAAUUAAGCAAAAGAGAAAUGCUAGUUUCCUGAAAAUAGCAACACUCAUAUAUGAAUGAAAUCAGGCAAUCAUCUUAUGAAAAAUUAUCUACGAGAAAGCAGUUGAUCCAGAAAACCAAGUGGAAAAUAAAACAUUGGUGGCUGAAGUACAAAACAAAGAUGGGACAUGAAUAAGAGACAUUCAAAAUGGCAGUCAUAGAUGUCAACUGCAGUAACUUUGUAUUCCUCACUGUAAGAACUAAUUUAAAGGCGACAUUGUGAUGGAUGACUAAUGAGAACCUUCUAGGCAAUCAAGGUGAACUUGCAAAUGUAGUCUUUUUUUUUCAUAACAGUUUUUUUUAAUACCGAAUAUUUGUGCUGAAUGUUAAAAACCGGAGCGCCAGUAUGCGACAGUGCUAAAGGCGUGCAGUAUUUCUCAUUAUAUGCAGUAUUACUCAAAAACCAUAAA